ACUCCUACGGGAGGCAGCGGUGGGGAAUCUUGCACAAUGGAGGAAACUCUGAUGCAGCGAUGCCGCGUGAGUGAAGAAGGCCUUUGGGUUGUAAAGCUCUUUUGUAGGGGAAGAUAAUGACUGUACCCUAAGAAUAAGGUCCGGCUAACUUCGUGCCAGCAGCCGCGGUAAUAC
RNAcentral lists this ribosomal RNA (174 nucleotides) under uncultured bacterium. RNAcentral describes it as "partial 16S ribosomal RNA". It matches the Rfam family "Bacterial small subunit ribosomal RNA", at positions 335 to 526 of the family's 1533-position model. The record is from RNAcentral.